CUCUCCGGCAACUUCCUCCACCUUGACCGGGAGGAGGGCCUUGUGCGACGAUCUCAGUCCCGCGGGGCCUGGGAGGUAGCGGCCGUGAGCGCUGGCCCGCCGCUGCGGGACGCACUCCCCGGCCUUGCACUGAGCGCGGGCUGCCGGGCACCCGGCUACGUCCCAGCCCUGCGGCUCUAUCGCGCUUGUCAUCUGGGUUCUCCGGUGCAGGGGCGGGCCACAGCGCCGCCAUCGCUCAGAGCCCAGGGAAAGAUGAUCCCGCGACCGUCCGGCCAAAAGCAACCACGAGACUCGGGUUCUCGAAUGAACUUGGGUCGAGACCACACGAGAAGAGCGAGUUUCGUUUUCAGGUGCUCCCACAGCAGACCCUCUUGGUCUCCCCAACCCCCAUCCUGGCAGAGCCCCGGAGCGCCACAUUUCCGGGCUCAGCUUUCUGGCAUCCCGAUUCUGUGUCCUGGUGGACACCGCCACAGCUGGGCCCUCGGGAGGAUCUGCCCUUGAAAGGGCUCAGAGAGAAAACUUCGUGUUCAAAACAAGGAUGUAGUCAUCGCUGUGGAAUCUUCACUGUGGGCUCUGGGAGGUGGGCGUCCCUCGGCUCAAGUUCUCCGAGUCUUUUUGUGAGUUUAUAAAAUAUUGGGACGGCUAAGGAUGACAUUCAGGGGUAUAGCGCCUGAGCCCAGCCCUGGAUUCUAUCUCCAGCACCGCCAAACCAAAGUAAAAUAUGGAGAAAAGGCUAAAAUGGAAAUUGGAAAAAAAAAAAAAAAAAAAAAAAGAAAUCACAGAAAACCUCACUGUCCUAAGGUAAGGUUUCCUAGAGAGAACUGCCUUGAUUCCAUAAACACGAGGGAGUUUAUUCGGAUCGAGCCCUGCCUCCUUAGGGCCACGCACCUAGUUGUCACCUAGGCUAUAUUAAAUAAAUGAAUGUGCAUGGUAGUUUGACACAG
Long non-coding RNA from Mus musculus (house mouse), 944 nucleotides. RefSeq annotates it as predicted gene 10399. The record is from RefSeq and is marked validated. NCBI's taxonomy places the organism in Eukaryota, Metazoa, Chordata, Mammalia, Rodentia, Muridae. The transcript has a single exon.